RNAcentral lists this ribosomal RNA (254 nucleotides) under uncultured bacterium. Its description in RNAcentral is "partial 16S ribosomal RNA". It matches the Rfam family "Bacterial small subunit ribosomal RNA", at positions 524 to 776 of the family's 1533-position model. The record is from RNAcentral.
UACGUAGGGUGCAAGCGUUGUCCGGAAUUAUUGGGCGUAAAGAGCUCGUAGGCGGUUUGUCGCGUCGGCUGUGAAAACCCGGGGCUCAACCCCGGGCCUGCAGUCGAUACGGGCAUCACUGGAGUUCGGCAGGGGAGACUGGAAUUCCUGGUGUAGCGGUGAAAUGCGCAGAUAUCAGGAGGAACACCGGUGGCGAAGGCGGGUCUCUGGGCCGAUACUGACGCUGAGGAGCGAAAGCGUGGGGAGCAAACAGG